Molecule: ribosomal RNA, 476 nt
Filed under: Veillonella dispar
Lineage: Bacteria; Bacillati; Bacillota; Negativicutes; Veillonellales; Veillonellaceae
Description: bacterial SSU rRNA
Rfam family: Bacterial small subunit ribosomal RNA
Source: RNAcentral
GACGAACGCUGGCGGCGUGCUUAACACAUGCAAGUCGAACGAAGAGCGAUGGAAGCUUGCUUCUAUCAAUCUUAGUGGCGAACGGGUGAGUAACGCGUAAUCAACCUGCCCUUCAGAGGGGGACAACAGUUGGAAACGACUGCUAAUACCGCAUACGAUCUGACCUCGGCAUCGAGGAUAGAUGAAAGGUGGCCUCUAUUUAUAAGCUAUCACUGAAGGAGGGGAUUGCGUCUGAUUAGCUAGUUGGAGGGGUAACGGCCCACCAAGGCGAUGAUCAGUAGCCGGUCUGAGAGGAUGAACGGCCACAUUGGGACUGAGACACGGCCCAGACUCCUACGGGAGGCAGCAGUGGGGAAUCUUCCGCAAUGGACGAAAGUCUGACGGAGCAACGCCGCGUGAGUGAUGACGGCCUUCGGGUUGUAAAGCUCUGUUAAUCGGGACGAAAGGCCUUCUUGCGAAUAGUUAGAAGGGGGACG